Molecule: ribosomal RNA, 465 nt
Filed under: uncultured bacterium
Lineage: Bacteria
Description: partial 16S ribosomal RNA
Rfam family: Bacterial small subunit ribosomal RNA
Source: RNAcentral
GACGAACGCUGGCGGCGUGCUUAACACAUGCAAGUCGAACGGAAAGGCCCUGCUUGCAGGGUACUCGAGUGGCGAACGGGUGAGUAACACGUGGGUGAUCUGCCCUGCACUUCGGGAUAAGCCUGGGAAACUGGGUCUAAUACCGGAUAGGAGCCAUUUUUAGUGUGAUGGUUGGAAAGUUUUUUCGGUGUAGGAUGAGCUCGCGGCCUAUCAGCUUGUUGGUGGGGUAAUGGCCUACCAAGGCGGCGACGGGUAGCCGGCCUGGGAGGGUGGACGGCCACAUUGGGGCUGAGAUACGGCCCAGGCUCCUACGGGAGGCAGCAGUGGGGAAUAUUGCACAAUGGGCGCAAGCCUGAUGCAGCGACGCCGCGUGGGGGAUGACGGCCUUCGGGUUGUAAACUCCUUUCGCUAGGGACGAAGCUUUUUGUGACGGUACCUAGAUAAGAAGCACCGGCUAACUACGUG